Molecule: ribosomal RNA, 391 nt
Filed under: uncultured bacterium
Lineage: Bacteria
Description: bacterial SSU rRNA
Rfam family: Bacterial small subunit ribosomal RNA
Source: RNAcentral
AUUGAACGCUGGCGGAAUGCUUUACACAUGCAAGUCGAGCGGCAGCGCGGGGGCAACCCUGGCGGCGAGCGGCGAACGGGUGAGUAACAUAUCGGAACGUACCCAGUCGUGGGGGAUAACUAUCCGAAAGGAUAGCUAAUACCGCAUACGUCCUGAGGGAGAAAGCGGGGGAUCGCAAGACCUCGCGCGAUUGGAGCGGCCGAUAUCGGAUUAGCUAGUUGGUGGGGUAAAGGCUCACCAAGGCGACGAUCCGUAGCGGGUCUGAGAGGACGACCCGCCACACUGGAACUGAGACACGGUCCAGACUCCUACGGGAGGCAGCAGUGGGGAAUUUUGGACAAUGGGGGCAACCCUGAUCCAGCCAUUCCGCGUGAGUGAAGAAGGCCUUCGG